RNAcentral lists this ribosomal RNA (683 nucleotides) under Pantoea dispersa. RNAcentral describes it as "bacterial SSU rRNA". It matches the Rfam family "Bacterial small subunit ribosomal RNA", at positions 17 to 689 of the family's 1533-position model. The record is from RNAcentral. Lineage: Bacteria; Pseudomonadati; Pseudomonadota; Gammaproteobacteria; Enterobacterales; Erwiniaceae. RNAcentral also lists the same sequence under 1 other name.
UCCUGGCUCAGAUUGAACGCUGGCGGCAGGCCUAACACAUGCAAGUCGGACGGUAGCACAGGAGAGCUUGCUCUUUGGGUGACGAGUGGCGGACGGGUGAGUAAUGUCUGGGAAACUGCCCGAUGGAGGGGGAUAACUACUGGAAACGGUAGCUAAUACCGCAUAACGUCGCAAGACCAAAGUGGGGGACCUUCGGGCCUCACACCAUCGGAUGUGCCCAGAUGGGAUUAGCUAGUAGGCGGGGUAAUGGCCCACCUAGGCGACGAUCCCUAGCUGGUCUGAGAGGAUGACCAGCCACACUGGAACUGAGACACGGUCCAGACUCCUACGGGAGGCAGCAGUGGGGAAUAUUGCACAAUGGGCGCAAGCCUGAUGCAGCCAUGCCGCGUGUAUGAAGAAGGCCUUCGGGUUGUAAAGUACUUUCAGCGGGGAGGAAGGCGAUACGGUUAAUAACCGCGUCGAUUGACGUUACCCGCAGAAGAAGCACCGGCUAACUCCGUGCCAGCAGCCGCGGUAAUACGGAGGGUGCAAGCGUUAAUCGGAAUUACUGGGCGUAAAGCGCACGCAGGCGGUCUGUUAAGUCAGAUGUGAAAUCCCCGGGCUCAACCCGGGAACUGCAUUUGAAACUGGCAGGCUUGAGUCUCGUAGAGGGGGGUAGAAUUCCAGGUGUAGCGGUGAAAUGC